This 16-nucleotide ribosomal RNA is filed under the name uncultured Lactarius. RNAcentral's name for it is "partial 18S ribosomal RNA". The record is from RNAcentral. Lineage: Eukaryota; Fungi; Basidiomycota; Agaricomycetes; Russulales; Russulaceae.
UGACUGCAGAUCAUUA